Molecule: ribosomal RNA, 406 nt
Filed under: uncultured bacterium
Lineage: Bacteria
Description: partial 16S ribosomal RNA
Rfam family: Bacterial small subunit ribosomal RNA
Source: RNAcentral
GAUGAACGCUGACAGAAUGCUUAACACAUCAGCAAUUGAUUGGUGGCGGACGGGUGAGUAACGCGUAAAGAACUUGCCUCACAGGUCGGGACAACAUUUGGAAACGAAUGCUAAUACCUAAUACUGUGGGAGAGCUUUGCGUCCCAUUAGCUAGUUGGCGAGGUAACGGCUCACCAAGGCGAUGAUGGGUAGCCGGCCUGAGAGGGUGAUCGGCCACAAGGUGACUGAGACCGAGCCCUUACCGCUACUGGAGGCAGCGAUGGGGAAUAAUGAACAAGGGACCAAAAGCUGGUCCGGCAAUUCGGUAUGCACGAUGAAGAUUUCAGAGUGUAAAGUGCUUACAGUUGAGAAACGGUAACAGCAGAAGAAGUGAGGGCUAAAUACGUGCCAGCAGCCACAGUAAUAC